UGGGUUGUAGCAUAACGGUAAUGCACUUGUUUUUGGUACAAAAGAUUGAAGGUUCGAAUCCUUCCAACCCAGCCA
RNAcentral lists this transfer RNA (75 nucleotides) under bacterium. RNAcentral describes it as "tRNA-Gln". It matches the Rfam family "tRNA". From Rfam's summary of the family: Transfer RNA (tRNA) molecules are approximately 80 nucleotides in length. Their secondary structure includes four short double-helical elements and three loops (D, anti-codon, and T loops). The record is from RNAcentral.